GACGAACCGUCCGAACGUUAUUCGGAAUCACUGGGCUUAAAGGGCUCGUAGGCGGCCAACUAAGUCGGAUGUGAAAUCCCCAGGCUCAACUUGGGAACUGCAUCCGAUACUGGAUGGCUUGAAUUCGGGAGAGGGAUGCAGAAUUCCAGGUGUAGCGGUGAAAUGCGUAGAUAUCUGGAGGAAUACCGGUGGCGAAGGCGGCAUCCUGGACCGACAUUGACGCUGAGGAGCGAAAGCUAGGGGAGCGAACAGG
Molecule: ribosomal RNA, 253 nt
Filed under: uncultured bacterium
Lineage: Bacteria
Description: partial 16S ribosomal RNA
Rfam family: Bacterial small subunit ribosomal RNA
Source: RNAcentral